GCGGCGUGCACUGUCGGUCGGCGGCUAAGGAGGGGAGGCACCUGCAUCUGGGGCGCGGCGAAUCCUCGCGUGCGCCAGGCCGCCUGGGGUAGUCGCCGAGACUGCGCCGGCCAGCGGGGCCGAAACCUAAUCAGGAGCUGAGCUUUGAUGGCGGCUUCUGGAGGGACAAAGAAGGCGCAGAGCGGUGGGAGGAGGCUGCGAGAACCUAGCUCCCGCCCCAGCCGACGUGCGAGACAAAGGCCCCGGCGCGGGGCUCUUCGGAAGGCCGGGAGGUUCCUGUGACAAUGCGAGUCUGCGCCCCACGCUCCCGCACCGUGAUGCCGAGGCCAAAUGGCUAGAGUGGGCCCAGGCAUCAGCAUUUCUGUUUGGCAGCCGGGCAGUUGUGGUGCACGUUUUGAGGAACUACUAAAGCCUGCCUGUGAUGAAAAAGGCAAAAGCUGACUUCACCAAAAUUACUCCCAGGGAGACUUCUGCAUUUGGCUGGAAGGACAUUUGAGUAAACCGCUGAGGCUGGUGGUUGAAACAUAAUCCUCUAAGGGAGAUCGGUUCCGAUACCCUGAGUUAGGGACGCUUGCCUGGGCAGAGCUAAGGGGAGAAUGAUCAAAAGCCAAGCUCUGUCCCCGUCAGCACGUCACCCUCCCUCACUGUAAUCCCUGACUGUUUUCUCUAAAUGAAGAAUUAUUUAGAGAAUAUAAAUUAGAAGGGCCGCCACGUCAGAAUUGCCUGAGUGGGAGCAGUCUUUCCAGCCUCGAAAAAUGUUUAAACAAUAUGCAGAUGACCUAGCACAAAUAAAGAAUGCUAGCAACCGCUGUUAUGUGUGAGCGGUGGAAUUGGGAGGGCUCUUCCCCCAAUCUUCAUCAAACAGAGUAAGGUUUAGAAUAAAAAUAAUGAAAUACAGUCUUUCAAAAAGAGCAGCGCUUGACUAAUGUUACUGAUGUCACUCAUGUUACUCAAGGGAGGAAAGAACUCAAACUCUACAUAAUAAUACCCACUGAUUUCAAGGGCUGGCACGGAGAAUUAAGCAGACCGCCAUUCUUUAUAUUUGUUUUUUUGUUGUUGUUUGCUUAUGAUUUUUUUCUUUCUUUUUUUUUUUUUUUUUUUGAGAAGGGGUCUCGCACUGUCACCCAGGCAGGAAUGCAGUGGCGCGAUAAUGGCUCACUGCAAUCUCACUAUAUUGACCAGUAUGAUUUUCAACUCCUGUCUUUAAGCGAUCCUCACGCUUCGGCCUCCCAAAGUGCUGGGGUUACAGACAUGUGCCACUAUGCCCUGCCUAAAUAUGUUUAUAUAUACUACCGCCAAAGAAACAAUUUGAAGACGAUCUUUCCCCAGCCCCUCUCCUUCUGAUCCAACUCCAAGAGCUCACCCUCCCUGUAAGACCUGUAGCAGAGCACGUAUUGGCCUGCUGAUACUAGGGGCAAAGACCGGGCCGAUCAGAUGUUACAUGGCAUAAGGGCGAAGGAUUCUGAAAGAAAGACUGAGACUUGCUGGAGGAAGUACUAGUAGUGCCAAGGGCAGGAACUCAACUGUUAGGCAGAAGGGAGGAAUGUACUGUUGAUAUGGACAGACUCCAAGAAGGGGAGGGACUGCUGGGACUACUAGAACGAGAAUGCCUCUGCCCCUAUGGCUCAGCUCUGCAACUCUCUCUGCACAUUGGCUUCAUGCUGUUAGACCAGCUUCCUCCAUAUGUCUGGAAACAAGGCCACUGACAGCUCCCAACAUUUCAUCUUCUGCCUCAUCAUCAGACAGGCGAGUGCAGUGGCAUAAUCUCGGCUCACUGCAACCUUUGCCUCCUGGGUUCAAGCAAAAACUGGAAUGAUGCAGCUUCAGGCCAAGGAAUGCUGGCAGCCACCAGAAGCUGAAGGACACAAGGAAUGGAUUCUCAGAGCCUCGGCAGGAAAUGUGGCCCUGCCAACACCUUGAUUUCAGACUUCUCAACUCCAGUACUGGGAGGGAAUAAAUUUCUGUUGUUUUAAGCCUCCCAGUUUGUGAUAAUUUGCUACAGCAGCCACAGGAAGCAAAUAAGGAGGGCCUAUUUGGAGGAGGAUGCAAACCCAGCAGUGGGUGAUGAACUAUUCUUACUUACAGCUACCUUAUUCAUUACUAGUCUAGACUUAAGCAUUGACUUCAUCACUGAAAAGGCUGCAGCUGAGCCUAGAGUUUCAGGUUCCUGUGCUGCAUAUGGCUACAGUGAUUCUUAGGUCAGCUCCCUAGGAUGCAGUUGAGUCUCUCUCUAACUGAUGAGUCUCUUUAAAUAUACAGUUGGGGCUGGGUGCGGUGGCUCACACCUCUAAUCCUAGCACUUUUGGAGGUUGAGGAGGGAGGAUCACUGGAACCCAGGAGUUCAAGACCAGCCUUGCCAACAUAGUGAAACCCAUCUCUACUAAAAAAAUACAAAAAUUAGCCGGGCAUGGUGGCGCACACCUGUAAUCCCAGCUACUCGAGAGGCUGAGGUGGGAGAAUCACUUGAACCUGAGAGGCAGAGGCUGCAGUGAGCCAACAUCGUGCCACUACACUCCAGCCUGGGCAACAGAGUGAGACUCUGUCUCAAAACUAUGUAAAUAAAUAAAUAAAUCUACAGCGGGCCCUCCCUGUUCUUGGGUUCUGCAUCCAUGGAUUCAACCAAUUGUGGAUCAAGAAUAGGUUCAUCUGUACUAAACAUGUAUAGACUUUUCUUCUUGUCUGUAUUCCCUAAAUGAAAUAGUAUGACAAGCCAAGCAUGGUGGCUCACACCUGUAAUCACAGCACUUUGGGAGGCUGAGGCAGGAGGAUUGCUUGAGCCCGGGAGUUUGAGACCAGCCUAAGCAACAUAGACCCCAUCUCUACCAAAAAAAUUUUUUUAGCCAGGCAUGGUGGCGUGUGCCUGUAGUCUUGGCUACUCAGGAGGCUGAAGUGGGAGGUUCACUUGAGCCCAGGAGGUCGAGGUUGCAGUGAGCUGUGAUCGCGCCACAGCCCUCCAGCCGGGACGACAGAGUGAGACCCUGUCUCAAACAAACAAACGUAGAUAUAUAGUACGCCAACUUACAUAACAUUUACAUUGUAUUAGGCAUUAUAAGUAAUCUAGACAUGAUUUAAAGGAGGAUAUGUAUAGGUUACAUGCAAAUUCUAUACCAUUUUAUAUAAGGAACUUGAUCACCCAUGGAUUUUGGGUGCAGGGUCUGGAAACCAAUCCCCCACAGAUAUUGUGGAGAGAUCAUACAUUUUCAUCUGAUAUUUUGACUUCUAACCUGAAAUUGUAUAUUUGCUCCAAAGUGAAACUCUUCCUAAGAGUUUUUAUCUUAGACACAUGGAAUCCAAAGAACCUUGAGGAAUUAUCUGGUAUAUCUCACUCCAUUAUUCAUGGAAACCAUUGAGCUCUGACGCUGAAUAUCUCUUGUUAGCUUCUCGUGUGUCUUUAUUGUUUUAUGGACUGAAUGUUUAUGUCCCCCCAAAAUUCAUAUGUUAAAAUCUUAAUCCCCAAUGUGCUGGUACUAGGAGGUGAGGCCUUUGGGAGAUAAUUGGGUUUAGAUGAGGUCGUGAAGACAAGGUCCCCAUGAUGGGAUUAGUGAGUGUUCUUAUAGGAUUUAGGCCACUCAGUCUAUGAUAUUCUGAAAUAGCAGCCUGAACUGAAACAAGACAAUUAUCAUCAAACAUCAUUUGAGUAUAUUAUUCUGUAUAAUACACUAUGAAAGAUCCCCAAAACAAGCAGAUUAGGCAAGUCUAAGGCCUGAUUUCUGUCCUCAAAGAAGGCGAAGGCUACAGUUAGAUUAAGAACUACUGCCUAGCUUUACUGGGAGAGAAUCAUUUUUACAACAUCAGUUGGAGAAGCCACAUAAUGAUCACCAUUAUGACUGCUUAGAUGUAACUUCGGGAUCUAACUAGAAUUUCUAGAUCCCUUAGGCUUAAGUCUUCUAUUUGACCACAAACGUUGAAUGCAUGUGCAUGUUAUGUUUGUCUGUUAAGUUCUCCUUCCUUCUUCUCCUGGCAAUAAUAUCUUCCUUUCUUUUAGAGAACUGCGCCUCCCUCACUCAAAACACAGAGUUCUAGGGGAAAUCGGCCAGUCAGGGGAGGGCGGAUAGCCGAGGCAGGACUACAUGUACCCUCCCCUGGUACCCACAGGUGCUGUGUUUCUACUGCUGGCCCUUCCAUCCACUUCCCUCCCCGACUCUGAGUCCAGGCUUCUGACAUUUAGUUCAUGGCUGCACCAACAGAGACUGACAUUGAUUCUAAAAAUAUUUUUAAUUGAAAUUGUAACCGGUUAUUCAGAAGCUCGAAAAUAAUUACAGUAUCUAGCAUGGACGGAGCACUUGCUGAAUGCAAGCACCAUCCAACCAAGGAGGCCAGGGCGGAGGCGGAGAACACUCAGGUGCAGAGUUGCCCAGGCCUCACACCUCCUGAGUGGCUGCAGUUGAGAAAUGGCCCCAGGGCCUGUGUCACAAAAGCAUGUGGGGCUCCUUGGAGAUUUCUGAGUUCAGCCAGAUAUUUAACCUCACUUACCUCCCUUGCCUAGAGUUUCAAACUCCUGUGCUGCGUGUGGUUACAAUGGGUAUCAGGUCAGCUCCCUAAGGCCCAGAUGAGUAGCUCUCUAACAGAUAAGUCUCUUUAAAUAUAUAGUUGUGCCUCUGUACUCAUGGGUUCUGCAUCCACGACUUCAACCAACUGUGGAUCAAGGACUGGUUCAUCUGUACUAAACAUGUAUAGACCUUUCUUCUUGUCUGUAUUCCCCAAACAGAAAAGGGCAUUGUUAUGCCUUCCUUCCUGUGAGGCUUCAUGUCCUGCUUCUCCUGGGGUAGCCCUCACAGCUGUGUCCCUACACUGCAAAGGGCCCCAUCUCCUCAUUGAUAGAUGGUAGGGACCUCUUUCUUGACCUGCCCAACUGCUGCAUAGAGAGACAGAAUAUACAGACAGCAGCCAGCCCAUAGAUGACAGCAGAAGUGUGACCCACAAUCUGCAGCAGCCAGUCCAGGAAGCCAAACCACAACGUCCACAGCAAUCUGCCCAGAACAGUCAGGACAUCAUCAAUAACCACUGGCUUCCCUACUUUUUCCUGCUGCUUCCAACUUAGGACCAGAGAAAGCCCAACAUGCUCCCCUAACCAGUCGCAUUGGAUGCCUCGCUUCUGGUGAGCCACCUGAGGCUUCCCCAGGCCAGCAGCCUUCACUCAGGGCACACCUGGAGCCUCUCCUCCUCCACUAUGAAGCUUUCCACUCCUCUGCCUGCCUUCAAGUCUCUGCCAAGCACUAGGAAUGGCAGCCGCCUCCUUUUCUACAGCAAGCCCUGAAUAGCCUUUGCUUGUUCUCAUUGGGUGGUCUUUGUUUAUCUCCACAUCGUUUUCGUUUUAACCAGUCCUUAGGUCUUUCUUUUGGCAUCCUGCCCACCCCUGCCUUCAGACAGCCUUCACCACUCUCUCUGAGGCCUGUGCGCCAGCCUCAAAUCUGUGCAACUUUGGCAGGAAUGGCCCUGCUUAGCGAGUCUCGGCCUUUCCCUGCAGUGACUUCUUUGUCUCCUCAUCAGGCCACUCAAUUCUAUGGCAGGGGAGAUCUCCAAUCACUGCCGAGACACCCACAGAACCUGAUUUUAGCCCCGGUGCUGGGGAAGUGGUUGCCAUAGCGAUGGAUGCAGCAGGCAGACAUAGGAAGGGCUCACUGCAGCCAGCCCACGCCAGGAGGGGCCAGGCCUUCUGUUUGGUCUGUGCUGCUCGCUGCCCCCCCAACCCCCAGCCCCCACCUCCAACAGCAAAAUGGGGGCUGGGAGCAGGAAUCAUCCAUGGCCAUCACGCUGGGAUCCUUGUCUUAGCACACCCACCCCUCCCCACCAUGCUGGCUGUUAAUGGUGUCACUUAGUUGUGCAGCUUAGACUGCGUUGCUUAGCAAUGAAAUAACCAACAGCGUAAAUCGUGUCUCCAUUGAAUCUCCGUGAAUGCCUCACUUAGAUGACCGUGAUUUCAGUGCUCUGUGCCAAGGUGGGGGUGGGGCGAUCCGAACCUUUUUAAAUGGAGGAUUUACACAUACAGAAAAAUAUGCACAAAGCGUAAGUGCUCAUCUUAAUAAACUGAAACCAACAUCCAGAUCAAGAUAUAGAACAUUUCCAGGACCCACCAACUUCCCUCCUGCCCUUCCCAGCUAAUAUCCACUCCCCUGUGGACAUGGAUAUGACCUUCAUCACCAUCUGUUUGGUUUGCCUGUAUGUGAGCUUCACAUGAAUAGAAUCCUAUGGUAAGGACCUUUUGUGUCCAGCUUACUUCACUCAUCACUGUGUUGAUGAGAUGCUCCCGUGUUGGGUGUGCAGUCGGAGGAUGGGGGUGGUGCUGCUGAGCAUGCUUUCCUCCACCCCCAGCAACAGGACUGGUCUCCUGGCUUUUCCACCUCACCUUCUGUACUGGUCAGAGUUCUCUUAGAGGGA
RNAcentral lists this long non-coding RNA (6378 nucleotides) under Homo sapiens (human). RNAcentral's name for it is "HSALNT0325181". The record is from RNAcentral. Lineage: Eukaryota; Metazoa; Chordata; Mammalia; Primates; Hominidae.